UGACCAGACUCCUACGGGAGGCAGCAGUGAGGAAUAUUGGUCAAUGGCUGGAAGGCUGAACCAGCCAAGCCGCGUGAAGGACGAAGGUGCCAAGCAUUGUAAACUUCUUUUGUCAAGGGACAAAAUCAGGCUCGAGAGCCUGACCGAGGGUACUUGAAGAAAAAGCAUCGGCUAACUCCGUGCCAGCAGCCGCGGUAAUACGGAGGAUGCGAGCGUUAUCCGGAUUUAUUGGGUUUAAAGGGUGCGUAGGGGGGCUGUUAAGUCGGGGGAAAAGGCCGGGGGCCCAACCCCGGGGAGCCGUUGAAACUGGCUGUCUUGAGAUGUCGAGAGGUAUGCGGAAUGCGCAGUGUAGCGGUGAAAUGCUUAGAUAUUGCGCAGAACUCCGAUUGCGAAGGCAGCCUACCGGCUCCUAUCUGACGCUGAGGCACGAAAGCGUGGGUAUCGAACAGGAUUAGAUACCCCUGUAGC
RNAcentral lists this ribosomal RNA (468 nucleotides) under uncultured bacterium. RNAcentral describes it as "bacterial SSU rRNA". It matches the Rfam family "Bacterial small subunit ribosomal RNA", at positions 328 to 794 of the family's 1533-position model. The record is from RNAcentral.